AUCAGAUAUGGUGAUAUGGUUCCAGCUACCAUAACCGGUAAAAUUGUUGGUGGCAUUUGCUCUUUAUCUGGUGUCUUGGUCAUUGCUCUUCCAGUCCCUGUUAUUGUUUCCAAC
Regulatory RNA element from Tetranychus urticae (two-spotted spider mite), 114 nucleotides. It matches the Rfam family "Potassium channel RNA editing signal". Rfam says of the family: This family represents a group of sequences related to the human potassium channel Kv1.1 hairpin element which directs the efficient modification of an adenosine to inosine by an adenosine deaminase acting on RNA (ADAR). NCBI's taxonomy places the organism in Eukaryota, Metazoa, Arthropoda, Arachnida, Trombidiformes, Tetranychidae. The record is from Rfam.